UGCUGAGGAGUCCCAUAAUAGGACGAAACGGCCGUUCA
Molecule: non-coding RNA, 38 nt
Organism: Schistosoma mansoni
Lineage: Eukaryota; Metazoa; Platyhelminthes; Trematoda; Strigeidida; Schistosomatidae
Source: Rfam